RNAcentral lists this transfer RNA (100 nucleotides) under Lentinula edodes (shiitake mushroom). It matches the Rfam family "tRNA". From Rfam's summary of the family: Transfer RNA (tRNA) molecules are approximately 80 nucleotides in length. Lineage: Eukaryota; Fungi; Basidiomycota; Agaricomycetes; Agaricales; Omphalotaceae. The record is from Rfam by way of RNAcentral.
GGUAGCGUGGCCGAGUGGUCUAAGGCGUUGGAUUUAAGCAGUCUUUGCCUAGCUUCCCAAUGGAGGAAACUCCGCGCGAGUUCGAACCUCGCCGCUACCA